CUAACCCGGACGACGCUGGGCCAAUUGUGCGCCGCCCCACGUGUCUCCCCGUCGCGGCCGGCUGCGACAGAGCCUGAACUCGAACCAGGAUCUCUAGUGGCACAGCUAGCAACUGCGAUGCAGUGCCUUAGUUUGCAGAGUGGUGCAGUGGUCUAUCAUAUUCUCAAGCAUGGCGGUGGCUGCAUCAAGUUACGGGCAUGCUUGUCAUUGGCAAGGCCUGACAAGUGUUGUUUUUUUGUUUGUUUUUUAUAAAAUAAUAAUAAUUUGGAUGAAACGAAAUCGAGCUAAGGCCAAAUCUACACUGGAGACGACAGUGAAUGUUCCUGAUUUUCGCCUUAAAUCUAUGGCAAGACUUGAAAAUCUGGAAUGUGUCUGUUUGGACAGCUGGUAGAGCAGAGUGCUGGUCUUGGUACCUUGCUGGGCAUCCUGGCCAGGCCCACGGCCAGAAGGUGUGUGUGUGUGUGUGUGGGGGGGGUGAAUAUGGCACGCUUGGACUUUUAGGGCUGUUUUAUUCGGCCUGAGGAGACAACACACACACACACACACACACACACACACACACACACACACACAGCAUGGUGACGUCUGUGGGAGGAGAAUGGGAGAAGAAGGAAAGGCAGAGCCAGCCGGGAAACACACAGAGCCUAAUGAGUUUGAUAGGCUGUUGGGCUCCAUAAAUCAUGCCAUGCAAAACAUUUCUCCUCUCUGAAUAAAAGCAUUUAUCACCCUCUGUUUAUUCACUCACUCUAACAAGAUUGAUUGUCUCCCAGCAGCCACCUGGGCAUUCAGGCGUGCUGAUUUCACCUCCUUGGUGUUUUUCUUCCCUCUAUCUCUUCAGUUGGGAAACUUCGGAAGGAGUGGAUGAAGGACAGCAUCUCUAACGUGGGCGUCGGGAUGCUCAAGUCCGUUAAGGAAUACGUGGACCCGGAAAACAUUUUCGGCAACCGAAACCUCCUCUAAUUUACAUGACAUUUUAUAACAGCCUCUUGGAAUAAUGGUUACUAAAUGUGACAAGAAGUAUCAAUGUCUUUCACCUUCGGUAUGACUUAGUCAGUUGUGCAGUCAACAUCAGUCAGAUAACUUGCCUUGCAUUACAUUACUGCACUUAACAUGCUGUAACAAUAAUUGUCUGUGAUUCAUUUCGAAGCUCAUGGCAUCAAGUCCUCAGUAAUGUCCUCAACCAGGAUGAUAUGGUGAAUGAAGCAGUCAGGUCCUCAGUAAUGUCCUCAACCAGGAUGAUAUGGUGAAUGAAGCAGUCAGGUCCUCAACCAGGAUGAUAUGGUGAAUGAAGCAGUCAGGUCCUCAGUAAUGUCCUCAACCAGGAUGAUAUGGUGAAUGAAGCAGUGUAUCAUACUAACGAUAGUACUGUUGAUCAUUUCAGUCACGUGUAUACAACACGCCGUAAGAAUGGCCUUUUCAUAUUGUACAUGAUGCAGGUUAACUUUUUGUGAUCCCAUAUUUGCCUACAAUUUAAUUGUUUCCUAUAAUUCUUGCCAAUUUCAUUAACUAGAUAUUUUUUUGGUAGAUGUUUAUUUACCUGUGUUUGGCACUACUUGAACAGUGAGUUCUAGAUGAAUGCUUUUUCUAAAGCUCUGUGCCUUUCUGAAGAUGUCUAUCUUCACCCUUUCCUACACACACACACUGUGGAAGCUUGACUGGUUUGUUUAUGGCAUCCUAUAUCUUCCCUUAUAAUGUGCGUGUCCUUCAUUCUAGAUUUCCUGUUUUCCAGUGGGUCUUUGUUUCUCUACUCAAGCCUUGUAUUACUUAUACUAUUAAUGAUUGCUAAGAGAUGUGUAUUUUGUUGUACCGACCUAGGAGGAUUUAUAUUACGUUGAAAGUCGUGCCUCUGCUGAAAAUGUACCUCAGGGUAAAAAUGUCCCUCAAACCCAAACGUUAAACUGUUUGAAGAAACUAGGAUAUGAUGCUUAACAACUUAUUUUUUUAAUUGAUGUUUUAUUUUAGAUUUGACCUUGCAUGGUCUUUGCCUGUCAUACAGAGUUCAGUUUGUGGACAAUGUACUUGAAUCAUACAUGCUUUUAGUGUGAACAUGUUACAGACGACUGAAUCCCAAAACCCAUGUUUGUACCAAAGACUUUCAGCACAACUGUUUCACUGCUUUAUACAGACCAUGCAAACAUCCUGGAUGUAUAGGUCUGUACAUGCUGUAUAGUUAAAUGUAUGGGACAUUCAUACAGUUAAUACAUGAACCUAUAACCUGAUUAUACAUAUUUUUAUUCAAUUCAGAUAUGCAAAUUUACAAAUAUCAAAAUGUGUUCAUAUUUGUUACUUUAAAUGUUACAUGUUCAUGUCAAUGAAAAACAUUUUCUUUAAAUUCAAUUACAAUAUUUUGUCACUACUUUAAAAAAAAACAAUUGCCUACAAGCAAGAGAGGUUGUAUUUAGACAAAAAUACAUCCGACUAAAUUGUCUGUUCCCUGGUGAGGGUCCCAGUGUUGUGGUUUUGUUGGAAAGGAUACAUUUGAGUGAAAGAUAAUUGUACCUUUGUCACAAUUUACAGAUGAUUAUGCGUAUAAGUUUGGCGUCUUUGCGAGGCAUGUGUCGAUGUUGUGCCCAAUCCUAAAGUCAGACAUGGGAUUCUACUGUACGGUGCUAGACUAAGAUACAUGAAAUGUAUUGCUACCGUUUUCCUGUCACUACUGCGUGACUGUGUUCCUCCUGUUCUCAGCCUCGCAGUUUUCCCACAGUGCAUUGUCACCUUCCUGCCCAAGUAUCUCACCUCUCCACCUCCAAUGAACAUGUUGUCAAAGGAAAUGGUGGAGCCGGAGACAGCGUUUUAUCUAAUCAGUUUCAUGCUUUUACUUCCUGUGAUGGUUCCUGAAAGAGAACUUAAAUGAGAGCUUGAAAUCUGAAUGUUAUGCAUGUACUUUUUUUUGUGUUAUUUUUCAAUUCUUAAAGUUAUUAACAUUUAAGUACCUUUUAUCAAUGAUGUUUGUGCAGUAAAUACAUUGAAAUAAAACAAGCAGUAGUCUGGAUAUUUUUCAGAUAACAGAAUGACACCAAUCGGUUGAAUAGAAAUGCAGUUGACAGGAAAUGUCUCUGUUUGUCCGUGACGUAAUGCAUAUUCAUAAUAAAGUUCAACAUACGAGGUA
This 3109-nucleotide long non-coding RNA is filed under the name Salmo salar (Atlantic salmon). Its description in RNAcentral is "lncRNA (ENSSSAG00000099704.1)". Lineage: Eukaryota; Metazoa; Chordata; Actinopteri; Salmoniformes; Salmonidae. The record is from RNAcentral.